ACUCACGGCUACGUCACUUCCGGUUUCCUUUCCUCCAGGUUUUUCUCAUCUUUUAGUCCGGACAAAUGGGGUGCUGGUAUGAACUGGUUUUUGGUGAAAUUCGGCUCGGUCUCACCCGAGCCUAUCUAGGUCCGUCUCUGGAGUAGCCUGUCAUCGAUCGCGCCCUCCAUCGCUCAGCGACACAAGUGGAGGCCCCAGGACUGCAGUCUGCGAAACUACCCUGCCUUUCCCCCAGUUUUGUUCUGUGAACGCGUUUGGGAAAUUAUCCUGAUGAUACCUCUACUCUCUUGAGGACCCUGAGCUUCUGGAAGAUGAAGAAACAGCUCAGAUUUGACCAAGAUCACAUAAGUAGGAGUUGAGGAAUUGGAACCCACUAUGACUGACUCCAAAUUAAUAUAGUGUUUAUAGCCACUUA
This is a long non-coding RNA of Cebus imitator (Panamanian white-faced capuchin), 415 nucleotides long. RefSeq lists it as uncharacterized. Lineage: Eukaryota; Metazoa; Chordata; Mammalia; Primates; Cebidae. The record is from RefSeq and is a predicted model, not a curated record. The transcript has 4 exons.